Non-coding RNA from Arachis ipaensis, 133 nucleotides. NCBI's taxonomy places the organism in Eukaryota, Viridiplantae, Streptophyta, Magnoliopsida, Fabales, Fabaceae. The record is from RefSeq and is a predicted model, not a curated record.
GAUUCUGACUGACCCAAGAUGGUGUGGAAAUGGAACGCAGACUCAGCGUUGCCGGCGUUUCGGAUGGAGGAGUUGUGUGAUUGAUUGGGGGAGAAGAGAAGAGCACACAACAGCUACCUAGAAGGUGAAGAAU